UACGGGGGGGGCAAGCGUUGUUCGGAAUUACUGGGCGUAAAGGGCGCGUAGGCGGUGCUCUAAGUCGGAUGUGAAAACUCUGGGCUCAACCCAGAGCCUGCAUCCGAAACUGGAGUGCUAGAGUUCUGGAGGGGGUAGCGGAAUUCCUGGUGUAGCGGUGAAAUGCGUAGAUAUCAGGAGGAACACCGGUGGCGAAGGCGGCUCACUGGUCCGGUACUGACGCUGAGGUGCGAAAGCGUGGGGAGCAAACAGG
Molecule: ribosomal RNA, 253 nt
Filed under: uncultured bacterium
Lineage: Bacteria
Description: partial 16S ribosomal RNA
Rfam family: Bacterial small subunit ribosomal RNA
Source: RNAcentral